Molecule: transfer RNA, 73 nt
Filed under: Fusarium oxysporum f. sp. raphani 54005
Lineage: Eukaryota; Fungi; Ascomycota; Sordariomycetes; Hypocreales; Nectriaceae
Description: tRNA-Arg (TCT) (tRNA-Arg-TCT-1-1)
Rfam family: tRNA
About the family: Transfer RNA (tRNA) molecules are approximately 80 nucleotides in length.
Source: Rfam by way of RNAcentral
GCCCCAUUGGCCUAAUGGUUAAGGCGUCUGACUUCUAAUCAGAAGACUACGGGUUCGACUCCCGUAUGGGGUU